RNAcentral lists this long non-coding RNA (16176 nucleotides) under Homo sapiens (human). RNAcentral describes it as "non-protein coding lnc-TMBIM4-6:1". Lineage: Eukaryota; Metazoa; Chordata; Mammalia; Primates; Hominidae. The record is from RNAcentral.
UUGGGGAUAUUAUAUAAAUCCUCAAGUGGGGUCAUGGGGAUCAAAAUGCUUGGGAUUUAUUGCUAUACAGGAAAAAAAGUGUAUUUUCUGUUUAAUUCUUCAAAAAGGUCACACAUGGGAUCUCAGCAGGUUUAGUAAAUCAUAUAUCCUGGGGGAGGAACCCAGAUGGUGUGGAGCUACUGACCUAGCACAGAGACUGAGGCAUGCUGCUGGAGGCAUAAAGCUUGGCUGGCCUCUGUGGGCUUGGGUUGUGGCUGUGUCACGGUCUACCACUUUGCCAUUUGUCUCUGUGGAUCCUGAAAGCUGCAGAUAAAAAUUUUAAAGGCUUAGCUGCCUGUAAUUUAAGAAAGAACUUGGUUAGAAGUCAGAUCAAGUGAAAGAAAAUGAAAUGUCAUUGCACAAAAGGAAAAUGACCAAUCUGGUGGAAAUGGAGCAUUUUUUAAAAUAGUUUUUUGUUUGUUUGUUUUCCAUUAGUUAUUUUUAUCUACUUUUUGUCUUAGCUUUUGACGCCAAUACUUCUUUUUUUGGCUGAAAUCUAGUAACUUUUAAUGUUUAGGACAAAAAGAAGACAGCUAAUCUGAGACCAAUGAAAGAAAGGAAUGCAGAAGCCUGAUGCCUGGGCAUCAUCAGCUAUGCAGUAGCAUUUCCUCCUUGGGAAAAAUAUUGACAGUUUGAAGGAGACUUGAGAUGUUAACAUAAUUACUUAAGACAAAGGCUGAGCAGGGAGAGAGAGUGGUCAUUUCAAAUUAUAUGGUCAAAAAUAGGUAAAUCAAAGUUACAUGCUUUCAAUUUGAUGUAUGUGCUUUUCAUUUUGGUUUAUGAUUCAGACCACUUACAGUUGAUCUCUGUAGAAGUGCUUUUAAGUCAAAGUUUCAAAAAUGUUAGGGAAUAGUGCUUUUUAGUUAUUUUUUAGUAUAAUAAAAAAAAUUCCUUGCUUCUAUGUGUGACUAUGCACUUUACGUAUCAAAAAGUAAUCUUAAAAAUUCCCAGAGUUGAGUCUAUUUAUUAACUCUUGUUGAGAUAGUUUCUGGGUUUGGAUUUAAAGUCUAAAAUGUGAAACUUUAUGAAAAGUAGAGCCCAGGGCCAGGUGUCGUGGUUCAGAUCUGUAAUCCAAGCACUUUGGAAGGCCAAGGUGGGAGCUUUGCUUGAGCUCAAGAGUUUGAGACCACUCUGGGCAACAUAGUGAGACUCCAUCUCUACAAAAAAUAAAAAUAAAAAAAAACUUAGCCAGUUAUGGUAGUGUGCACGUGUAGUCUUAGCCACUUGGGAAGCUGGGGUGGGAGGAUCACCUGAGCCUAGGAGUUCAAGGCUGUAGAGAGGUAUGAUUGUGCCACUGUACUCCAAACUGGAUGAAAGAGCAAGAGCCAAAAAAAAAAAAAAAAAAAAAAAAAAAAAUGCUCAGCUCUAGAACUGACUAUAGUAAUAAAAAGAAGACAUUCUUUAGUGACAUAAAACUUGGGUGUUAUAUCUUACAUUGGCUAUUAUUCUUACGUGCAACAACAUAACAAUGAGAAAAACAAGCCAGAUACAAAAAAGUAUGUAUUGUUUGAUUCCCAUUUAUAUAAACUUAAAAAUGGGCAAAACUAAUCUAUGGUGUUGAAAGUCAGAAUUGUGGUGUACCUCAGGGAGAGGUAAACACUGAGAAGGGGCACCAUGGGGUCUGCCAGCUUCUGGUAGUGUGCCAGUUCCUAAUCUAGGGACUGAUAACUUGAGUGUGUUCAUUUUGUGUUCAUCAUACUCUUCACCUAAUCAUUUGUACACUUUUCUGUAACCUUUAUGUUACAUUUUAAAAGAAGUUAAAGAGUUAUGUUAUAGAACUUAAUGUGCAUUCUUUAGAAAAAUUUUAUCCUAAAGAAAUGUAAAUUUAUAGUCAGUUCUAGAGCUUAUGAUGUGUCUUUUUGAAAGUUUGACCUGCACCUGUACCCUAAAACUUAAAGUAUAAUAAUAAUAAAAAAAAAGAAAAAAAAGAAAUGCAGAAAAUGAUUUGACAAAAAAAAAAAAAGUUUGACCUAAUCUUAAUCAUGGCAGAUUUGGGAAUGCUAAUGUUUAUAUAUAUACUUUCAUAAUUACACCAAAAUUGAUGAAUCUUUCUCUGGGAGCUAUCCAUUGAUGUUCCUUGUAAUUAGCAACCUGCUUCUGUUUCCGAAAUUGUAUUUUCAAUCAUAUAAGUGUGUUCAAAGGCCUCAGCGGGGACCAGAAUUAGCUACAAUUUAUAUUCAGUUCAGAACAUAGAAUUCGUUUCUCAAAUUUCUCAUUAGCUUGGCAGUUUAUAAACUUGGAUGUGUGUAUGUGAGUUUUAGGAAUCUGAGGAUUGGACAAAAAAGAGAGACAGAGAAUAUUAAGGCAGUAAAGAAGAGUUUGGAAGAGUAGAGAUAAGUAGAAAUAAUGACAUUAGAAGGCAGAAGUCUUCAGAUAGUCAUUCAGAAGCAAGAUGAUGAAAUACUCUUUUGGCCAGACACAUCAUACUUACUCAACCUUUGUAUUUAGCUUCAAUUGUUGGUUGAAUGGACUCAGCUGUUCACACUGUAGAAGUAGUGGUAGUGGUAGUAGCAUAAGGAGUGUAGAUUUUGCUUUAAAUAUCACUCAUUUAAAAUACUUUUGUUCUUUGCCAGGUGAUAUGAUAUGAUAUGAUAUACAUGUCACAUUUCUUGUCAUGCAUGAACCUACCCUUUAGUUGGAGAAACAAGGCAUUUGGAGGUGAAAUGUUCAAAUGAAAAUAUAUGUACAAGAUAAGUGGUGUAAAUACACACACAGUAACAGUAACAAUAUUUGAUACAUUUUGCAUUUGUUUGUAUGCCAGCCAAAUAAUAAAGACCAGCUUUCUAACAGAAAAAUGACAAAGGACUGGAUUGGACAGUCUGUGAGGAGCGAUAUAUAAAUCACCAAUACAUACAUGAAAAUAUGUUCAGUAUCACUGGUAAUCAAAGGAUCACAAAUUAAAAUUUCACCUAUCAAAUUGGCCAAAUUGAGAAAAACUGAUAAUAGCCAAUGUUGGUUAAGUUUUAAGGAAAUCAGGAGUGGCAAUGGGCAUAAUCUUUCCAAUGGGAAAUUAAGCGAUGCAUGUCAAAAUUUAAAAUCUACAUACUCUGUGACCAAAGGCAGAUACAGGGUUUGUGGAGCCCAAGCCUAUGCAACUGGGGAAGGGAGAGAGUUCUUUUAAAAAAGGAUCCCAAAGUUAUAAAUACAAAUUUAGGUAUGACAUUAAAUAUUUAGUUCGAAUGAGAAAAAAUCACAACAAAUUUUUAUGAAAUUGGUAAAUACCAUAAACAUCACAAAAUCCAUCUCUAUGAGGCAAACUUGGGAAUCAGUCUGGCUCCAGGGCAUGGCUCUUAACAGCUGUGCUCUGACUGCCUCAGAAUGUAUCAUUCAUCUGUGUCCAUUGACUACUACAGACCAAAACACAUUUGCAACUUCUUGUCACCUCUGCUGCUAGUGCCUUGGUCCAAACCUCCAUCGUGUCUCUCUUGGAUCAUGGGAACACUCUCCUAACUGGUCUCUGUAUUUUGCCCUUGAACAGAAUGCAUGUAUUAUGUUUUUAACAUUUUUUAGUAAUUGACUUUCUGACACUCCUCUAUUUUAUUUAUUAUAUUAUUUUGGUUACUCUUUGAUUGCCUUUUCAUGUGACGAUGGUUUUGUACUAUUUUCUACAAAAAGACAGGAAAGAUAAGUCCUCUAUCAUGGUAGGUGGAAAUCUAUUUUUUAUUGUUAAUAGUUGCAUAAAACCUGAAAAUUCUCACGCACACAAAUUUGCUAUUUGUAGCACUGCCACAGGUUUGUUGCAUUUGUAAUUGCAUAUACUGCAUUAUUGAAUAUGUUUCUGACAGGAGAGAGCCUUCGUUUAGUCUAGCCACUGAUGGAAACUGAAUCCUUUGUUUACAAUUUUAGAUACCUGAUGAUUGGAAGAAUUUUCUACAGACUAGCUUGUGGCUCUAUACAUUUUACAUGCUGUUUCUCCUUCACUACUCAUAUAUUUCUGGUGCCAGGCUUGGCAAGAGGUGUUUUCAUUGUGAUGUGACCUCUGACCUUGCAGGGUGAGAUGGAAUGAGGGGCAGUAGGAAUAUUCCUGCCUUUUUUUCUAGUCUGGAACAGCUAUCAAUACCUAUCCCUGGAGGUGACCCCAAAUCCAUAUAAAAAAGCCACUAAACCAAAAUAAAGUAUAAUUCCAAAGUCAGUUUGACCCCCCAGAUUCCAAAAAUGUCCAUGUCUCCUUCAGUGCAGUCAAUUUAAAGGAAUGUUUGAUGAGAGGAAAAUUGCAGUGGAUGGCAACAGCAGUCAUAACAGAUCCAGUUGAAAUAUUUUAUUUUUACAAAUUUUACAAAAGCAGAGCCAUUGAACACAUUUCGAGGAUCCCUUUUACGUCUUGGAAGAAGCUUUAGGAAAUGAGGGACCCUGAAAAUUACACUUAAUUAGGCACUUAAUAUAUGUGCCUCUGUCUAUGACCUGGAUACUUCUAAGAAUUUAUCAUAAGGAAAAUGUGCAGUAAAAAUCAAUAAUAGCAAACAUUUGUUGAACGCUUACUGUACACCAGACACCUUGCUAAGAACUUCAUUUUGACUUUUUAUAAUGAGCGUUUUAUUUUUAUAUCUUAUUUAAAAAUUCCAGAGAACAAUAUCCGUGUUUAAAUGGGAAUUUUAGUUUAGACAAUGUCAAAAUUAUGUUCAUUUUUACUUCAUCUUUUCACUUCAACUUUUAUAUGGAUUUAUGCAGUUUAUACAACAACUACAUAGUGAAUGCUAGGCAGUGUUCUAGAUGUUGAAAUUCCUGCCUUCAUGAAGCUUAUAUUCUAGUUGGACAAGAUACUCAAUAAAUAAGUUAACAAAUAAGAUAAAUAAGUCUGUUAUCGCAUGUUGGAUGGGUAUAAGUACUAAGGAGAAACAAGAUAGCAAGCAAGGAGGUAAGAAAUAUGUAUGUGUAUGGAGUGGGGGUUGAGAUUUUAGAUGGAUCAUUUCACAGAGAAGGUAAUACUUAAGUAAAGACCAGGCCAGGUGCGGUGGCUCAUGCCUGUAAUCCCAGCACUUUGGGAGGCUGAGGUGGGAGGAUCACCUGAGGUCAGGAGUUCAAGACCAGCCUGGCCAACAUGAGAAACCCCAUCUCUACUAAAAAUACAAAAAUUAGUUGGGCGUGUUGGCAGGCGCCUGUAAUCCCCACCUACUCAGGAGGCUAGGGCAGGCAGAAUGGCUUGAACCAGGGAGGCGGAGGUUGCAGUGAGCCGAGAUCACGCCAUUACACUACUCCAGUCUGGGCGACAAAGUGAGACUCUGACUCAAAAAAAAAAAAAAAAAAGAAAAGAAAAGAAAAGCCUUCUAACUGUGUAUUCUAGGAAAACUCUAGAGUUCAAUAUUCAAUAUGCUGAAGGGUCUUCUUAUAUAAUUUUAAUGCCUGGAUUACAUUAGGAUGGUAGUAAAGAGAAGCUACAACCAUCACAUAGCUGAUGCACUUGUACCUGAUAUGUACUCUUGGUAAAGGCAAUAUGGUACCUACAAAAUUACUUUAGGGUCAUGUUAUAUGUGGUCUUUUACUGGAUGGCAUUGGAAUGAAUUACCAUUUGAGGUAACAGAAUUAUCUUUCCUAGAGUUCUUUAAAAAUAGGAUAAAUACUGGCAGAGUUGUGAUGCUUUGAUUUAAGCCAAUAGAGGUCAGAUUUUUUGAUAUACAUAGGUCUUUUGAUUUAGUAAGAUGAAUUUAUUCAGAAUUCAAAGAUCUUUUCAAAAUACACUCUCCUAUAUGGAGGCGGUAGGAUCUGAACCAGGGGAAUUACAAAUGGUUUUAACAGGCUGAAAGAGGGGUUUUGAAGUACAUUUUCCUUCAAAAAAAAAAAAAAAAAAGAAUGAAAAAGGAAAAAAGGGAAAAAAUAACCAUUUUCCUGUCAAAAGAGAAAAAAGUUAAAGAAAAAAACCUACCCCAAACCCCUGAAUAACCUACAUAAUGUGGGUUUUUUUUGUUUGUAUUAAGGAGUGUUUUUAAUAUUUAAAAAAUACUUUUCAACAAUGGUUCUACUGAAAAAAUAACAGUUUUACAUGACAUAUAGAUUUAUAAAAAUUACAUGUUACUGUGUUUAUAGAAAAAAAUGGUGGCUGUGUUUUAAAAAGACAUUGAAGCAACUCUUGUGUGAAAAUACACAGGUGGUGUUGAAAUAGAAACAAGCCUAGGCACUAGGGUUCCUAAGGUCUGCUUUCAUCUCAGCCUCUCAUUUGUUAUGUUACAUUUCAGGGCUAUCAUUAAUACUGCCAUUGUAUCCCAUUUUUCUUUCAUCUUCUCUUUUCACCCCGGACCCUGUUUGGGGGCCAGGAGUUCCUUUGAGAAUGUGAAGGCGGCCCUAAAAGCUCUCCUCUAAAUAAUGUGCAAAUACACAACAGAUUUGCAUGUAAGUUUAGGGGUUUCAUGGUUUCUGGAAAGCAUCUUUGGACCUUAGCUGAGUGUGCAUGAAUUAGAAUGCAUUAGUAAGAACAUGGGGCUGCAAAAUAUACCAUAUGAACAAUAGUUAGAGCAUUUCACUGUGAUGAGCUAGAAAAAGAAAAGCUUGAGGACAGGUCGUUAAUGAACUGUCACACAUAUCUGAAGAGCUGUUAUGUGGAAGGAAGAAGUUUAUUUGGGGUUGUUUUAGAGCUAGGUGGUCCACCACUGUAGCCACUGGUCACAUGUGACUAUUUAAAUGAAAAUUAAAUAAAAUAAAAAAUUCAGCUUUCCACUCAUAGUAGGCACAUUUCAAGUGCUCAGUGGUCACAUGGCUGCUGAAUUGGACUGUUAUAUCUUUGUAAGAAGUUCUGUUGGGCAGAGCUGCUCUGAAGUUUUGAACUUUCAACAGAGUGAAUUAUGGCAAGGCAGAUUUCAGCUCAUUUCUAACAAAACUGUUCUAUUAAUUUUAACUGUUCAGUGCCAGAGCUGUUGAACUGGCUGCCUCAAAGAAUAGUAAGCUUUCUGUCAUUUGAAGUACUCAGACAGAGACUAGAUUCCUACUUUUUGGAGUGAUGUAGAAGAGUUUCCUACCCAGAACCUUAGGGUGUUUAAGUGGGAAGAAGACUCAGCAAUUCAAUGUUUCUUUUACUGCAGAUGAAGACACAGACUCAGAGUCAGACAGUUUUGCCCAAAGACCCACAACUGGUUAAUGGCAAAUGCUAGCUGUCCUCAUGAAUCCUAGCUUAGUACUUUUCCCAUUCCACCCAUUGGCUAAUGUUUUAACAACAAGGUCCUCGCGGUUCUUGUUGAGCAACACAUUUCCGCUUCUGGCAUUCACCAGCUUUUCCACUUAUUCUCUCCCACUCUUCUGCAGUGAAAACUACACUGCAGCCAAGCUGAACUGGCUAUAUUGAAAUACGUUAUUCUGAUUCCUGCCUCUGCGUCUUUGCUAUUGCUUUGCCCUUUAUCAAAGUGACAUUUCUUCACAAACUUAAUUCUACUUAUUUUCUAACUUCUCCUCAGGUCUCAGAAUAUUCAAACCCAUACCAUCUCUUCUCUUUGCUAAACUACCUUGUUACAAUGCACUCAGACAUUUAUACUCUCUGUGAUGAUUAUAUUUUGUCUUAUCCCUUUGAUGAGCUUCUUAAAGACUGUGAUUACUAUUUUCAUGCAUAUAUCCUUUUUCUGUCUCCCUCACUAGAAUAUAAGUUCCUCAAGGGCAGGGACUAUAGCUGUCUUUUUCACCAUACCUUACUAUCCAGUUGCUAUCCAGCAAGUGUCUUAGCACCAUAAUAGGUGCUCAACAAAUAUUUAUUGAAUGAGUGAAUCAAUUUUUCUCUUCCCAAGCAUGCUAUUAUUCUCCUUAAGUUUGCCAUGAAUUCUCAAUAAAUACUUUUCUAAGCAAACAUUUCUGUUUCUAUAAAGUAAGUAUUGAAAAUAGGAAUAUGAAAAAAACAAAGUAAGGCACUCCAGCAUGUAAAGUGCUUGGGAGUCCUCACUCCCUUCCAAACCUGAGCAAGUAAAACUUGGUAAGUUUUCCUGGAACUGUCAGCAAUCUCAGGGCAAAUCACUUGCCACCCCAAAAUCUGAAGAAAUAGGUACAUUCAGACAGUCACAGCUAAGAUUUGCUUACCUACAGCAGAAGCAACUGGAACCAUAGACUAGAAGGGCCAUUUAAAUAGUAAUUUUGAUGAAUUGCUGGAGGCUAAGUGUUGACUAGCUUGAGAGUGGAACUCCUAGGCGCAGGAGUCUGAGAAAGGGUCUCACACGUACAUGGAUUUUACCUCCCGGAAACCCGUCAGGUUUUCACAGCAAAGAGCCAAGAUAGACCCUGUCCUGGCUCUGGCAAAGGGAAGGGGAAAGUAAUGACUUUGAAGUGCGCUCAGAAUGUUCUCUAUGAUAAAGACUUACUCUCCAAGGAAAAGGGCUUUACCAGAGUCUUAUCCCAUCUGGGGAGAAGAUAGUUCUCUGACUCGAGGCACCUCUAGAUUCCUGUGUCAACUAAGGAAGGAGGAAAAAGGUUAAGAAACAUUUGUAAAGGUCACAGUACAGCAACAUAGGCCCACCAAAAGAUUGAGAUGUAAUCCUAAGAAAAUGGAAUGUUUCCCUUCCCCACUCCUUACCACCACAGCAACAGGGCUCCUUAUAAUAACAGUGGAUUACAGCUGAAAGAGCUGCAAGAUGCAGACAGACACUGGCUGGCCAAGGAGAGGGGGUCUCAGGAAAGUCCAAAGACAACAGGAGAGAUGAAAAAAAAAAAAAAAAAAGACACUAGAGGACUUUGAAACCUCUGACAACCACAUUUAUAGCAAACAUUAUAUACAACCCAAUCUUAGACAGAUAAGCCUCAAGCUGAAGUCCUUUUUGCCUCAUUUCCUGUUAUCUGAUACAUCAUGUCUAGCUUUCAACAGAAAAUUACACAGAUGAGGCUGGGCACAUGGCUCAUGCCUAUAAUUCUAGCACUUUGGGAAGCCAAGGUGGACAGAUGACUUGAGGCUAGAAGUUCAAGAGCAUCCUGGGCAACAUGGUAAAACCCCAUCUAUACAAAAAAUAAGAAGAUUAGCCUGGCAUGGUGGUGCAUGGCUGUAGUCCCAGCUACUUAGGAGGCUGAGGUGGGAGGAUCACUUGAGCCCAGGAGGUCAAGACUGCAGUAAGCUGUGAUCACAUCAUUGCAUUCCAGCUUGGGCAACAGAGUAAGUAAGACCCUGUCUCAACAAAGCAUGCUAACAGGCAAGGAAAAACAGCCUGUAGAUACAAAGCAAGCGUCAGAACCAGACUCAGAUGUGACGCAGAUUUUGGAAUUAUCACACAGGGAAUUUCGGUAGCUAUGAUUCAUAUGUUAAGGGCUCUAAUAGAAAAAGUAGAUAACAUGCAAGAACAGAGGGGUGAUGUAAGUGGAGCGAUGAAAGAGCUAAGAAAAGAUCAAAAGGAAAAGCUAGACAUUAGAAACACAGUAACAGAAAUGAAGAAUGCCUCUGAAGGGUCACUCAGAAGACUUAACACGAUUUUUAAAAGUCUCAGUAAUCUUGAAGAUAGGUCAAUAGAAACUUCCCAAACUGAAAUGCAAAAAUAAAAGAAUGGGAAAAAAAAGAGCCAGGCAUGGUGGCUCACACCUGUGAUCCCAGCACUUUGGGAGGCCGAGGCAGGAGGAUUGCUUGAGCCCAAGAGUUCCAGACCAGCCUGGGCAACAUAGUGAGACCCUGUUUCUAAAAAAAUAAAAAAAAUUAGCCAGGCGUGGUGGCAUAUGCCCGUGGUCCCAGCUACUUGAGAUGGUAAAAGGCUAAGGUGGGAGGAUUGGGAGGAUCACUUGACCCUGGGAGGUGGAGGCUGCAGUUAGCUAUUAACUGCACUCUGGCUGCUUGAUAGAGUGAGACUGUGUCUCAAAAACCAACCAAACAAACAACAGAAGAUGCAAGAACUCAGAACUUUGGCACAAUUUCAAAAGGUGAAACAUACAUAUACAGGUAAUUGGAAGAUCAGAAGGAGAAAUAAGAAUGGAACAAGAGAAAUAUUUGAAGUAAUAAUGACUGAUAAUUUUCCAAAAUUAAUGACAGACAUCUAACCUAAAUUCAGAUCCAGGAAGCUCAGAGAACACAAAGUAGAAUAAAUUCCACAAAGUCUAUACUUAGAUAUAUGACAUUCAACUUCGGAAUGUGAAAAAAUCUUGAAAGAAGCCCUGGGGUUGUGGGGAUCACCAUAUCUAUAGAGAAACAAGAAUAAGAAUUACAGUGGACUUCUCAUCAUAAACUAUGCAAGUGAAGAAAAAUACUUAAAGAGUUGAAAGAAAAAUAAACCCUCAUCAACUUUGAAUUCUAAAUCCAUAAAAAUUAUCCUUCACAUGUGAAGGAGAAAUAAAGACUUUCUCACAUAAGCAAAACCGAGGGGAUUUAUUAUUAGCACAGCAUACCUAUUCUUUAUAAAAUGUUAAAAGAAGUUCUUCAGAGAAAAGAAUAAUGAUAGUUCAGCAACUUAGAUCAACAUUAAGGAAAGAACAUCAGAGAAGGAAUAAAUUUAAGGUAAAGUAAAAUCUUUUGCUUUUCUCAUUAAUUGAGCUAAAAGAAAACUUUGUUUAAACUAAUAAUUGUAACGGUGUAUUAGAUAAUUAUAGCAUAUGGUUAAGUGAAAUGAAUGACAACAAUGUCAUAAGAGAUUGGAGGGAGGAAUUGGAAAUACUUUAAGUUAUCUGAACUACACAUGAAAUGGCAUAGUAUUAGUUGAAACUGAACUUAGAUUAGUUUAAAAUGCAUAUUGCAAACUCUAGAACCACCACUAAAAAAGUUAAAAGAAAUAUAAUUGAGAUGCUCAGAGAGUAGAUAACAUGUUAUAUAAAACGCUCAAUUAAAACGGGAGAAAGAAGAACAAGAGGGGAGAAUUAAAGCAAGAGAAGGCAAAAUAAGAAAAAAAUAUAUAAAACAUAGGAAACCUAGAGUCGUAGGCAAAUCCUUAUUGUCUACAAGAAGCCCACUUUAAAUAUAAAGCAUCAAGUUAAGAGUAAAGGGAUGGAGAAUUAUACAGUAUGUUAACACCAAUCAAAAGAAAGCUGGAGUCACUAUCUUAAUUUUAGACAAAGCAGACUUCAGUACAAGGGAAAUUAUCAGGGAUAAAUAGGGACAUUAAGACUGAUAAAAGUAUCAGUUCUCCAGGAAGACAUAAUCAUAAAAACAUAUGCACCAAACAACAGAGAAUCAGAAUACAUGAGGCAAAAACUGAUGAACUUGCAAAGAGGCACAAUUUCAAAAUAACAAAUUGACUAUUGUAGCUGUGGACUUCAACACCCCUCUUUCACUAGUUGAUAGAUCAAGCCAGCAGAAAAUCAGUAAGGACGUAGUUGACUUGAAUAGCAUUAUCAGUCAGCUUGAUCUAAUUGACAUGUAUAAAACACUCCAUCCAACAAUAGCAGAAUCCACAUUUUCAAGCUUGCAUGGAAAUUCACCAAGAUAGAUCACAUCCUGGGCCAUAAAACAUACCUUAACAAAUUUUAAAGAAUAGAAAUUAUACAAAGUAUGUACUCAGACUGCAGUGAAAUUAAACUAUAAGUCAAUAACAGAAAGAUAUUUGGAAAAUGCCAAAAUAUUUACAGAUUAAACAGCACCCUUCACAAUAACACAUGACUGAAGAGGUCACAAGAUAAAUUUAAGAGUAUUUUGAAUAGCCUGUAGUCUCAGCUACUUGGGAGGCUGAGGCAGGAGGAUUUCUUGAGCCCAGGAGUUUGAGUCUAGCCUGAACAACAUAGUGAGACCCAGGCACUUGAAAAAUUUUUUGAAUAAAAUAAAAUUUAAAAUAUAACUUAUAAAAAAUUGUGAGUUUAACUCCUGUCUUGCCAUAUACUAGCAGUAGCAGUACAACUGUGAAUAACAUACUUAAAUGGCUGUGCUUAUUUUCGUAAAAUAAUUUUAGUAUUUAAAACUUCACCUAAAAUAAGUUCUAAUGUUCUAUUGCAUAGUAUGGUGACUAGAGUUAACAAUAACAUGUUGCAUAUAUUUUGAAGUAGCUAGAAAGAAAUGACACAUAUUUGAGGUGAUAGAUAUGCUAAUUACCCUGGUUUUAUUGUUACACAAUGUAUACAUGUAUCAAAACAUCACACUGUACCACAUAAAUGUGUACAGUUAUUAUUUGUCAAUUAAAAGCAAAAUAAAACAAAAACAAACACAAAAAAUUGUGGGAUGCAAGGAAAGCAAUGCUUAGAGAACAACUGAUACCACUAAAUGCUUACAUUAGAAAAGAAGAAACAAUGAAACAACAAAAAUAUCUUUCAAUAGGUAAAUGAAUAAACAAAUUGUGGUGUAUCUAUACAAAAAAUAAAUAAAUGGAGGAGAAGAAGCAGUAUCUCCUACAGAAUUCCAAACAAUUGAUGCAGAUACUUCACUCUCAAGAAAGUGGUAAUUUUCCACUCCUUAAAGUGUAGGUUAUGCAUAGUGACUUUGUUUCAGAGUAUAGUGUGGAAAGGGCAAGGAAGCGACUUUAUGGUAGUUACUCACAGCCAGAUGAUCAAGACAUCAGCAGUGAUAAGCACUAUUGCUAUUAUGUAUGAUGUGAUAAAGAUAACACUUCACCUCUGUGGUCUUCCUUCCCAAAAUACAUAACUCCAGUCUCAUAAUGAGAAAAACGUCAGACAAAUUUUAAUUGAUGGCAUUUUACAAAGAUAAAUACUCCUCAAAUCUGUUAAGGUCAUUAAAACCAACGGAAAUCUCAGAAAUUGUUAGAGCCAAGAGGACCGUAAGGAAACAUGACAGCUAAUGAAAUAUGUUUUCUUGGAUGGGGUCCUAGAACAGAAAAUAAUAUUAGGUAAAAUGAAGACAAUUGAAUAAAGUAUGGACUUUAGUUAAUAAUGAUGUAUCAAUAUUGGUCCUUUAGUUGUAGCAAAUGUGCACUUAGAACGUGUAGUAAUAGGGGAAACUCUCUGGGUUGAUAUAAGUGGAGCGAUGAAACAAAUAGGUGAAACUGUAAUAUUUGUAAUUUUUGCAAUUUUUGUAAUUUUUCUAUAAAUCUAAAACUGCUGAAAUACAUUUUAUUUUAGAAAAAUCAAUGUAAGUAUACCUACUCAUGUGUUCAUUUGUAGAAUUAUUAGCCGAACCAUUUUUUCCAGUUUCAAUAAUUUCUGCUGAAUAAAACUUUUGGUAUUCAUGCUACUCAGUUUAUUUCUGGAAUACAGCAAUUCUUUGAUUUCUCCUUAUAAAUAUAUGCAAGAACAACAGUGUCCUUUAGUUGUUAGAAUCUUAUAUAGUCCAUAUAUUCUUCAGCACCCAUGUUAUUCAUUGUCUUUUUACAACCUGCUAUUUAAGGACAAAAUACAUAGAGUCACAAAUGGAAAGUAAAGAAGAACCAUCUCUUUCAUCUCCUCCUCAUUUUGUCAUCACAGUGUGAAGUGUCAGUAUGGAGAAGGCAUUACUUUGAAAGCAGACUGUCUGGCAGAAACUGCAAAACUGCAUUUUGCAAUAGUGUCAUCCAAACUCUGGGGAAUUCUGUUAUUCAGAAGCCUCUGUGGUUCAUUCAUGCAUUAAGAGGAUGAGUCUUGCUGCUUUCUCAUCUGACAGAGGAGAAUGUUGCCAUGACAGCUGUUAGGAGGUGAGGAGAUGUGUAAAGGGCAUCCAUAAUGAAAAGAGAAAAUAGCCUGGCUUCUUAGGUCUCACUGAUGAUGCAUGGAGUGGCUUGUGUGGAUUCUCAAAAUGAACCUUGAAAAUCCGUUAGUCCCAUUUUAGUAAUAAUAUCUCACACACACACACACACACACACACACACACACACACACACACACACAAUGUUUCUUUUCCAGUAGCCUAAGAAGCAUGUAGAAAAAUUAAACCUCAACUAAAACCCCCUCAUAGAUACCUCCUUUUCCAUCUUUGGAGUGUAGACUGAAGAUCUACCAUAUUGAAGGUUUAAAACAUUUGUUUUGUUAGUGAUUAUUAUGAGGGAAAAUAUUUUCCAAAAAGGCAGAAUCUUUUUAGAAAAUGUCCUAAAACCAGAAAAGGUGUUAGAGAGUAAUCAGAGAGCUUAAGUAGAUUUCAUCUCUUUAGUCCCAGAGAGUAAAAUAUAUUUUCUUUAUCUAAAGAUGUUGAAGGAGUAUUUACUGAUUGAAGGAUAUGGUAUCUUGCAUUUUCUUCAAAAUAAUAUGGGAAUGGGGAGUUUUUUAGGGCCACAGGCAAAAAAAAGAUUGGUAAUGAAUCGAUUAUAGAAUAUUAUUAGGGACUGACUUGUGCCCCCUGCCCCUGCUCCCAAAAUUCAUGUUAAACUAACCCCCAGUACCUCAGAAUGUGACUGUAUUUGAAGACAGGGUCUUUAAAGAGGUGCUUAAGUUAAAAAUGAAGCCUUUAGGGUAUUCUCUAAUUUGGUCUGUUAUCCUCAUGAGAAGAGGAAAUUUGGACACACAAAGAGACACCAGAAACAUCCGUGUAAAGAGGAAAGACCAUAUGAGGACAUAUUGAGAAGGCAUUCAUCUGCACACCAAGAAAAGAGGCCUCAGAGGAAACCACCCCUGCCUGCCAAUCCCUUGAUCUUAGGCUUAUAGCAUCCAGAACUGUGAGAAAAUAAAUUUCUGUGGUUUAAGCCACCAGUCUGUGGUAAUUUGUUAUGGCAACCAGAGCAAACUCAUACAAAUACCUAUCACAUAAUCGGAGUAUGUGUUAUCUACUCUCUGGGGAAGGUUUAGUUGCUUUGGGAGCCUCAUGAUGGAGAGCAAAAUAAGAACUGGGGGGAUCAGGGAAAACUGGCCGGGAGAGGGUAGGUGUUAGCCUGGUGAAAAGCCAGUGGGAAGAGAACUUUAAGUAGAAGGAGGAGAAUGUACACAGGCCUGAAUAUAGGGGCAUGGCAUGCUUGGGAAAGUAAAAGUAGCUCAAUAGGGAUGAAUUCUAGGGUGUGGGUGAAUGGGGGACUAGUGAGAUUAGGCAUUAGGGCAGUAAGCUUUUAUUACCAUUCAUAUGCACACCCACACAUCACACAUCUAUACACACACAUGUGUUUAUACUCAUUUUGUUUACUGUCAGUAUCUCUCCUCUAGAACAUAAGUCCUUUGAUGCCCUUUCUGUCUCUUUUGUUAACUGGUAUAUUUCUGGCUACUUAGAAUAGUACCUGGCACACAGAAGGUAUUCAACAAAAAAAUUGCUGAAUAAAUAAAUGAGUAAACUGCAUGAUUUAUUCUUUAGAAAAAUCACUUUGGCAGCACUGCGGGAAACAUUUGGAAUGUGGCCUCAAGCAGGACUGUUAGGAGAUUGUUGCAAUAGUCCCGCUGAAGUUGACGGUGGAGGUGUAGAUGAGAAGACUCAGCUAACGGGUGAGUUACUCAGGAGGUAGAACUAAGAGAACUUGUAAUGUGAUUGUCUAUAGGGCUUAAAGGAGAAUGGUCACUCCCAGGUUCCUGGUGUAGGCACUGACAGAAAGAUAGGGUUAUUUUCUGAGGUAAGAAACAUACAAAGAAAAGUAGACUUUGGGUCUGGGUUGGAGGUACUGAGUUCAGUGUUGGUCAUGUUUAGCUUCAGGUAGCAGAAUGACAUCCAAAUCAAGAUGUCUACUUGGUGGUGACUGAGAGGGGGCUGUCUAGGCUGGAUCUUCAACUUAGACGUGAACCUAAAGCUGUAGAAAUGGAUGGUGUUGUUCAAGUAGAAGGUGUAGACGCAGAAGAUGAGAACAAGGAGUAUUGAGAGAAGAAAAUAGAAACAGGAAAUCAAAAUAAGCAGUGAAAAGUUUACUGCACUUCCAAAAAACUCUUGAAUUCCUUAUUGUUAUGUUUGUCAUUACAUUACAGAACUUUAAAACAAAUAUGUAGUUCAGAUUCUAGCUCUGAAGCUGUAGUCUUGGUAACUUAACCUCCUUAUUCCUUCUUUUUCUUCAUCUCUAAGAUGGGUCCAAUUAUAAUCCCUACCUUUAUUAUAGAUAUGUUGUGAGGGCUAGAUGAAAUACAUGUAAAGCCUUUAGUAUUAGAAUGUGCAUUCAAUAAUUGUUCACUCAUUUUUAAUUAUUAAGUUUAAACUUUCAUUAUUUUUAUUUAUUUAUUUUUUUGAGACAGCGUCUCACUCUUGCUCAGGCUGGAGUACAGUGGUGCAAUCAUGGCUCACUGCAGCCUUGACUUGCUGGGCUCAGGUGAUCCUCCCAUCUCAGCCUCCCAAGUAGCUGGGACUACAGGUGCAUGCCACCACACCUGGCUAAUGUUUUUUUUUGUUUGUUUGUGGAGGUGGGGUCCCACCAUGUUGCUCACGCUGAUCUCAAACUCUGGGCUCAAGCAGCUCGCCCACCUUGGCCUCCCAAAGUGCUAGGAUUACAUGUGUGAGCCACUGUGCCUGGCCUA